This 253-nucleotide ribosomal RNA is filed under the name uncultured bacterium. RNAcentral's name for it is "partial 16S ribosomal RNA". It matches the Rfam family "Bacterial small subunit ribosomal RNA", at positions 524 to 776 of the family's 1533-position model. The record is from RNAcentral.
UACGGAGGGUGCAAACGUUGCUCGGAAUUAUUGGGCGUAAAGCGCACGUAGGCGGUUCGCUAAGUCGGGUGUGAAAGCCCCGGGCUCAACCCGGGAAGUGCAUUCGAAACUGACGAGCUUGAGUACGGAAGAGGGUCUCGGAAUUCCCGGUGUAGAGGUGAAAUUCGUAGAUAUCGGGAGGAACACCAGUGGCGAAGGCGGAGACCUGGGCCGAUACUGACGAUGAGGUGCGAAAGAGUGGGGAGCAAACAGG